AGUGAACGCUGGCGGCAGGCCUAAUACAUGCAAGUCGAACGGCAGCACAGUGGAGCUUGCUCCAUGGGUGGCGAGUGGCGGACGGGUGAGGAAUACAUGGGAAUCUGCCCAGUCGUGGGGGAUAACGUAUGGAAACGUACGCUAAUACCGCAUGCGCCCUUCGGGGGAAAGUCGGGGAUCGCAAGGCCUGACGCGAUUGGAUGAGCCCCAUGUUCGAUUAGCUAGUUGGCGGGGUAACGGCCCACCAAGGCGACGAUCGAUAGCUGGUCUGAGAGGAUGAUCAGCCACACUGGAACUGAGACACGGUCCAGACUCCUACGGGAGGCAGCAGUAGGGAAUAUUGGACAAUGGGCGCGAAGCCUGAUCCAGCCAUGCCG
Molecule: ribosomal RNA, 377 nt
Filed under: uncultured bacterium
Lineage: Bacteria
Description: bacterial SSU rRNA
Rfam family: Bacterial small subunit ribosomal RNA
Source: RNAcentral